Non-coding RNA from Delphinapterus leucas (beluga whale), 1394 nucleotides. The record is from RefSeq and is a predicted model, not a curated record. Lineage: Eukaryota; Metazoa; Chordata; Mammalia; Artiodactyla; Monodontidae.
AUAGGAGAAACCUUCUUCCACCGAGAAGGGGUCGUCCACGUCGUAACGCUGGUGUCCAUUGACCCAUCCCCAGCAUCUGGGAAGAUACUGUGGAUUCCAACUCAAGAGAAGAGGAGGAAAGAGGAAAAGGAAAUAGAGCUAUUUCACAAACUAUCAACAUGUAAAACUGAUUUGGGUUAGAAAUUCAAAAUGGGUUUGAUUUCGAAGAGAACAAUAUUUAGCAUCCAGGAGCAAUUUCUGGUUAAUCAUCAGAAUGGUGAUAUGAGUCUCCUUGAAUGGUGAUAUGAGUCUCCAGUCCACUGCCAAGAAACCCAGUGAAAUCUUCACACAAACCAGGAACUCCUGAGGAGCUCUCCCACCGAUUCAGAAGCUGAGAAACCAAAAAUACCACUGUGACAGCCUGGCCAGAGGCUGGUCAAGAGCCUCUAAAUGGAGAGGUUGCUUCUGGGCAGCAAAAGGAGAAGAAAAGACAGAACCAGAACCCAGUAUAUCACAGGCACACAGUAAAGCAGCCUGUUGUGGACACGUGCUGGAAGAGUGGUCUACCAGGAAUGGAGAAACCUCCUAGCCACAAUCCAAGGGGCAGAUGUCAACUUUACAACCAUAAGAAAAUGGGAAAUUUCCCUUGCCACAUAGAGUUUCAAAGUAAGUUCAUCACUAAGGAGUUUAGACAUCAUUCUGUAACUCACAUAGGAAGCCAUCACAAGUUUUUGGCAGGUAAGUGACAAGACGAGAGCUGUUCUUUAGGGAGACUGAUCUUGCAACUGCAUGUAGGGUGAAUGGGGAUGGGGUGGGGAGAUCACACAUCAGAUAAGGUAGGAGGUGCACAGACUUGAAGGGGCUUGAGGGUAUAUGGUCCCAGAUAGCUUCUCUGUUCUUGGGCAAGGCAAGCUGUGGGACUGAGAAAAGGGGUUGGCAUCCCCAGAGGCUCUGAACCCUGCCUUCUUUACACAGGUCCAACACCCACAGACCUCGGGAGAAGAUUCCCUGGAGACCAGACAGGUCACCACAUAGCAUAUGCAGUUAGAGCAACAGUUUACAUGGAAAAGGAAUUCAUUACCAUCUACUUUAACCGGCCCACUGUUUGUGCACAUGGCCAAGAGUCCAGGGCAAAGCUCCUUAGCUGAUAGCUGGCGAUACUUCCCCACUUGCUCUGGGAGAACAUGAGUCCAAGAUCAGGGUUGCUUUACUAAACCAUAACCACUCAAGCCAAUGGCAACAAGGGAAGAGGCCAGGGCAUUUCUCACCCUCUAUCCUCCAGCCCCAGGCUCCCACUCUGUGAAGAUGUCCAGACUUGGCCAGACAUCUGUGUGCAAAUUAUAUUUAUUUAUGAGGCUGAAUAUAUACUUCAGCUAAAGUUGAAAUAUAUAUUAAGUAUCAAGUAUCUUGGUAUG